This is a long non-coding RNA of Perca fluviatilis (European perch), 1265 nucleotides long. RefSeq lists it as uncharacterized. The transcript is spliced from 4 exons. The record is from RefSeq and is a predicted model, not a curated record. Lineage: Eukaryota; Metazoa; Chordata; Actinopteri; Perciformes; Percidae.
GGUCCUCCCCUCAUGGUCGUAUGAGCCAUCGAUACAAGGAUUGCUUCUGUUUCGCCCUGAUGAAGAGGCACUGUAGACGACAGAAAACGAAAGUGAAAGAAAUCAGCAAAAUAAAGAUAACAAGAAGGUGAUGCAGGAAGCUGCUGGAAGGGACCGUGUUGCAAAGCCUCCCCCAGGGACGAGAAGAAGAGGGAGGAGAUGAGCCGGGGAGAAGCAGAAGUAUAGAAGAACUGGGACUGAAGGGCUGACAAACCUGAUGCUUCUUCACACACAGAACAGGAAGAGAGUCAUGCUGCUCUUCAGCUACAGGAAAUAACCUCUGUGCUGAUGACGCAGGUCUCAGGGGAAUGUUCAGCAAGUUCUGUAGGUCUGAAGCAUACUGUACGCUCUGUAACUGCAUGAGUGUACACACACACACACACACACACACACACACUCUCACAUACUCAGCCACAUAUUUCUUUGAGUGCUGUUUUGUAGGUUUGGGUUCAUCACUAAAUUGUCAAAAGCAGCUACAAUAUCUCACUGUCUUUCUCUCCCUCAGCACCAGCUUACACACAUGCACACAAACUAGAUUAAAAGACGUAAAUCUGUAAAGCUGCCACUAGACGAUAUGUCUGUGCAAAGAGAUUUCCCCCCCGCAACACGUACAGCGGUCUGCCUAAUUAGAGCUGAGCACAUCUGUGGGCAAGGGAGUCUGCCUCUGCACAUGGAGGGGGGAUUUGGCCGAGAGCAUUCAUUCACUGGGCUGUCUGGUGGGGAAGACAAUGGAGAGGAGUGCCGAUUGGAUGUCUUGUUCCAAACUGUGCCGAGCGCUUUUCCCCAGCACAGAGGAAAGAGAAGAAUAAUGCCAGUUGAAUGUCCCAUAGAGAUGGAUUUAUUGAGACUAUUGGUAUUGGAAAAUCCGGUUAGGGACUUAAUCAAAACAGAGCGGCAGCAGGGAGAGACUGAGCUGAGCCGGUAGACCAGGCAAAACUGAUUCCAGCCCUGCCUCUCCUGUCCUUUACCUGUCCUCCGGGUAGGUCCACUGCAGUCGUUUGUCCUUUGUCUAAACCGUUACAUGAAAGGACGUCUGUCCUCUAGGACAACCCCUCGCUCAUUUGUGAGUCUGCCCUCAUGCAGAAUAUGUGAAUGCUUUAUAUGUCUGUGGUCCUCCUAGUCUCUUAACCUAGCGUAAACCGUUGCUGUGAUCUACAUUUCCAACCCGGGGUACUUGUAGGCAGAGGUGGGUAGUAACGAGUUACAUUUACUCCGUUACAUUUACU